UACAGAGGGUGCAAGCGUUAAUCGGAAUUACUGGGCGUAAAGCGUGCGUAGGCGGUUAUAUAAGUCGGGUGUGAAAGCCCCGGGCUCAACCUGGGAAUUGCAUUCGAGACUGCGUAGCUAGGGUGCGGAAGAGGGAAGCGGAAUUUCCGGUGUAGCGGUGAAAUGCGUAGAUAUCGGGAGGAACACCAGUGGCGAAGGCGGCUUCCUGGACCGGUUCUGACACUGAGGAGCGAAAGCGUGGGGAGCGAUCCGG
This 253-nucleotide ribosomal RNA is filed under the name uncultured bacterium. Its description in RNAcentral is "partial 16S ribosomal RNA". It matches the Rfam family "Bacterial small subunit ribosomal RNA", at positions 524 to 776 of the family's 1533-position model. The record is from RNAcentral.